RNAcentral lists this ribosomal RNA (413 nucleotides) under uncultured beta proteobacterium. RNAcentral describes it as "bacterial SSU rRNA". It matches the Rfam family "Bacterial small subunit ribosomal RNA", at positions 9 to 426 of the family's 1533-position model. Lineage: Bacteria; Pseudomonadati; Pseudomonadota; Betaproteobacteria. The record is from RNAcentral.
GAGUUUGAUCCUGGCUCAGAUUGAACGCUGGCGGAAUGCUUUACACAUGCAAGUCGAGCGGCAGCGCGGGGCAACCUGGCGGCGAGCGGCGAACGGGUGAGUAAUGCAUCGGAACAUGUCCAUGUCGUGGGGGAUAGCCCGGCGAAAGCCGGAUUAAUACCGCAUACGCCCGAGAGGGGAAAGCCGGGGACCGCAAGGCCUGGCGCGAUUGGGUUGGCCGAUGUCCGAUUAGCUAGUUGGCGGGGUAAGAGCCCACCAAGGCGAUGAUCGGUAGCUGGUCUGAGAGGAUGAUCAGCCACACUGGGACUGAGACACGGCCCAGACUCCUACGGGAGGCAGCAGUGGGGAAUUUUGGACAAUGGGGGCAACCCUGAUCCAGCCAUUCCGCGUGAGUGAAGAAGGCCUUCGGUUGU